UGGGGAAUAUUGCACAAUGGAGGGAACUCUGAUGCAGCGACGCCGCGUGAACGAAGAAGGCUUUCGAGUCGUAAAGUUCUUUUAUAUGGGAAGAUAAUGACGGUACCAUAAGAAGAAGCCCCGGCUAACUACGUGCCAGCAGCCGCGGUAAUACGUAGGGGGCUAGCGUUGUCCGGAAUCACUGGGCGUAAAGGGUUCGCAGGCGGAAAUGCAAGUCAGGUGUAAAAGGCAGUAGCUUAACUACUGUAAGCAUUUGAAACUGCAUAUCUUGAGAAGAGUAGAGGUAAGUGGAAUUUUUAGUGUAGCGGUGAAAUGCGUAGAUAUUAAAAAGAAUACCGGUGGCGAAGGCGACUUACUGGGCUCAUUCUGACGCUGAGGAACGAAAGCGUGGGUAGCAAACAGG
RNAcentral lists this ribosomal RNA (403 nucleotides) under bacterium. RNAcentral describes it as "partial 16S ribosomal RNA". It matches the Rfam family "Bacterial small subunit ribosomal RNA", at positions 355 to 776 of the family's 1533-position model. RNAcentral also lists the same sequence under 1 other name. The record is from RNAcentral.